AUCUCACCAAAUAGUGAUGAUCCCUUGUAUACCCCUUUGUCCCAGCUGUGUGUAAUUCUCCAGUCUACUUGCAAUUAGGCACUUGAGUGUGUGUAUAUGUCUAGCACUCCCAGUGUACGCUGCUUCAUGGUCAUCAUCCAGUUGCAGAGAAUCGUUGAAAAAAACUUUUAGACCUGUUCUCACAAUCGAUAUCCAUGCAUAUAGAUUUGAUGGAGAAACUUUUAGACCUGUAUAUCCCCUGACGAAGACCAAGUCACUGAGUGCAGCAGAUAAAGAGUGACAUGCCAUGGACCACCAGAAUUAAGCUUGUGAACCACUUGUCGUCCACACAGCACAGUUAGAGAACCCCUGCUUCAGAAGACAACAAGGUUUAUGAGCUUUGCACAUUUGCACAUCAGUGGCGCAGAGUGGUAAGUGGCGGUAACACAGCCGAAGCUCUGCUCACGGCCGAAGUUCGAUUCCAAUGGAAGGAGGGAGUUGAAUCUCCGGCAAAAGGGGUCGAGGUCCACUCAGCCUUCCAUCCAUCCAUGUCUUGGUGGAGAAAAAUUCAAGACUCUUGCACUUGACUGCAUGCUGUCCUUGGGAAAGGUCAUUGGUAGCCCAUUGGUAGAGCAUCUGCCUUGCAUGCAGAAGAUCCCAGGUUCAAUCUCCAGCAUCUUCAGUUCUUCUUAUCCGAGGGGGCACCCUUGGUCAAAGCUAUGAAGACCUGUUACCAUGUCCUUCUUGUUCUUGCCUCAGUGCUCCUUCUAGAUCCAGUAUUGCCUAUGAGUGACGAGAGGGCAUCUCAUCCCUGCGGCAACUUUGCUUGAGGAAUCUUCAACUCCAGACUUACAAAGUAUGCGUUGUGUCCACUUCACCAGAUGGAAGAC
Molecule: long non-coding RNA, 869 nt
Organism: Rhineura floridana
Lineage: Eukaryota; Metazoa; Chordata; Lepidosauria; Squamata; Rhineuridae
Exons: 7
Source: RefSeq, a predicted model, not a curated record